AUGGGAAACUUGUGGUGUGAUAGCCUUCACUUCGCUUUCACAUUUAUUUCCUUCACACGUCCUUAUAUUUUCAUAUAUUUUAAUAAACAUGUAUACACAUAUACAUAUAUAUAUAUACAUUUACUACUUUUUCCUUUUUUUUUUUUUUUUUUUUUUUUUUUUUUUUUUUUUUUUUUUUUUUUUUUUAUUUUUCUUUUUUUUUUUUUUUUCUUAGUAUUUUUUUCUUUACUAUCUUUUAUUUUCAUAUCUUUUCGAAUGUCAUCAUUACCAUUUUUGUUUUGUAACUCUUUCAAUUUUUCUAAACUUUUUAUAUCCCAUUCGUUAUGUAUUUUAAUAGGUGUACUACUAUUACUACUAUUAAAUGGUGUAAUUGUUUUUUUAUUAAUACUUAUAGUUUCUUCUUUUUCUUCAUUCGUUUUGGUUUUUUUUUGUGCUGUUACAUUAGUAUGUUUCAGUUCUGAUAUUGAACCAGUAGGUAUUGUUGCACUUGCAACACCACCUGUACUAAGUUCUGGGGAUCCUAAUACUGUAUUGGUUUCUUCUUCUCCUUCUUCAUCAUCAUUUUUUUUUAUAGUUUUAACUGUAUUUUGCGUGACAUCGUUACUAUUAAGUUCAUUUUUUUUUGUCUGGUGUUUUUUUUAAAUAUUGAUAUAAUAAAUCAUGAUAUAUAUAUUUCGGUCCA
RNAcentral lists this long non-coding RNA (682 nucleotides) under Piliocolobus tephrosceles (Ugandan red Colobus). RNAcentral describes it as "lncRNA (ENSPTEG00000001434.1)". Lineage: Eukaryota; Metazoa; Chordata; Mammalia; Primates; Cercopithecidae. The record is from RNAcentral.